UUUCUACUCCCUCCGUCCAAAAAUACUAGUCAUCAAAAUGCAUAAAAAGAGAUGUAUCUAAAACUAAAAUACGUUUCCUUUUAUCCAUUUUGAUGACAAGUAUUUCCGCACGGAGGGAGUACUUG
Molecule: non-coding RNA, 125 nt
Organism: Triticum aestivum (bread wheat)
Lineage: Eukaryota; Viridiplantae; Streptophyta; Magnoliopsida; Poales; Poaceae
Source: Rfam